Molecule: ribosomal RNA, 254 nt
Filed under: uncultured bacterium
Lineage: Bacteria
Description: partial 16S ribosomal RNA
Rfam family: Bacterial small subunit ribosomal RNA
Source: RNAcentral
UACGUAGGGUGCGAGCGUUGUCCGGAAUUAUUGGGCGUAAAGAGCUCGUAGGCGGUGUGUCACGUCGGCCGUGAAAACCUGCAGCUUAACUGUGGGCGUGCGGUCGAUACGGGCAUCACUGGAGUUCGGCAGGGGAGACUGGAAUUCCUGGUGUAGCGGUGAAAUGCGCAGAUAUCAGGAGGAACACCAGUGGCGAAGGCGGGUCUCUGGACAGUUCCUGACACUGAGACACGAAGGCCAGGGGAGCAAACGGG